Oncorhynchus tshawytscha (Chinook salmon) is the source of this 1181-nucleotide long non-coding RNA. The record is from Ensembl. Lineage: Eukaryota; Metazoa; Chordata; Actinopteri; Salmoniformes; Salmonidae.
AGUACAGUAGCAGUGUGUUGGGCAGUACAGUAGCAGUGUGUUUUGAGUGUUUGGGCUGGGCAGUAGCAGUGUGUUGGGCUGGGCAGUAGCAGUGUUGGGCUGGGCAGUAGCAGUGUGUUGGGCUGGGCAGUAGCAGUGUGUUGGGCUGGGCAGUACAGUAGCAGUGUGUUGGGCUGGGCAGUACAGUAGCAGUGUGUUGGGCUGGGCAGUACAGUAGCAGUGUGUUGGGCUGGGCAGUACAGUAGCAGUGUGUUGGGCUGGGCAGUACAGUAGCAGUGUGUUGGGCUGGGCAGUAGCAUAGCAGUGUGUUGGGCUGGGCUGUACAGUAGCAGUGUGUUGGGCAGUACAGUAGCAGUGUGUUGGGCUGGGCAGUACAGCAGUGUUGUGUUGGGCAGUACAGUAGCAGUGUGUUGGGCUGGGCAGUAGCAGUGUGUUGGGCUGGGCAGUACAGUAGCAGUGUGUUGGGCUGGGCAGUAGCAGUGUGUUGGGCUGGGCUGUACAGUAGCAGUGUGUUGGGCUGGGCAGUAGCAGUGUGUUGGGCUGGGCUGUACAGUAGCAGUGUGUUGGGCUGGGCUGGGCAGUAGCAGUGUGUUGGGCUGGGCUGUACAGUAGCAGUGUGUUGGGCUGGGCAGUACAGUAGCAGUGUGUUGGGCUGGGCUGUACAGUAGCAGUGUUGGGCUGGGCUGGGCAGUAGCAGUGUGUUGGGCUGGGCAGGCAGUAGCAGUGUGUUGGGCUGGGCUGUACAGUAGCAGUGUGUUGGGCUGGGCAGUAGCAUAGCAGUGUGUUGGGCUGGGCAGUAGCAGUGUGUUGGGCUGGGCUGGGCAGUAGCAGUGUGUUGGGCUGGGCUGGGCAGUAGCAGUGUGUUGGGCUGGGCAGUACAGUAGCAGUGUGUUGGGCUGGGCUGUAGCAGUGUGUUGGGCUGGGCAGUACAGUAGCAGUGUGUUGGGCUGGGCAGUACAGUAGCAGGAACUGGCUGUACUGGCUGAGCAGUGGUGACAUUCUGGGUGUUGAUCACCUACUGAGUAGUGAUCACGUCAGCCUGGGUAACCAUGACAUCAUUCUGGGUAACCAGGACAUCAUUCUGGGUAACCAGGACAUCAUUCUGGGUAACCAUGACAUCAUUCCGGGCCGGCGAUGACAUCAACACUUGUCUCCCAGUUUGAGAAAGCGCUGUGAUUUUU